This 477-nucleotide ribosomal RNA is filed under the name uncultured bacterium. RNAcentral describes it as "partial 16S ribosomal RNA". It matches the Rfam family "Bacterial small subunit ribosomal RNA", at positions 30 to 507 of the family's 1533-position model. The record is from RNAcentral.
AUUGAACGCUGGCGGCAUGCCUUACACAUGCAAGUCGAACGGUAACAGGUUAAGCUGACGAGUGGCGAGCGGGUGAGUAAUGUAUCGGAACGUGCCCAGUCGUGGGGGAUAACUGCUCGAAAGAGCAGCUAAUACCGCAUACGACCUGAGGGUGAAAGCGGGGGAUCGCAAGACCUCGCGCGAUUGGAGCGGCCGAUAUCAGAUUAGGUAGUUGGUGAGGUAAAGGCUCACCAAGCCGACGAUCUGUAGCUGGUCUGAGAGGACGACCAGCCACACUGGGACUGAGACACGGCCCAGACUCCUACGGGAGGCAGCAGUGGGGAAUUUUGGACAAUGGGCGCAAGCCUGAUCCAGCCAUGCCGCGUGCGGGAAGAAGGCCUUCGGGUUGUAAACCGCUUUUGUCAGGGAAGAAAAGGUUCUGGCUAAUACCUGGGACUCAUGACGGUACCUGAAGAAUAAGCACCGGCUAACUACGUG